GUGUGUGUGUGUGUGUGUGUGUUGCAUCUGCAUCUGCAAUGCCCACAGCUCUGGGUCAUCGGAGGGGGAGGGGUGACUGUGGAGUUGGGGGUGGGGUCUUGCAAUUCAAAAUGGCAGCUAAUGGCAGUGCGCUCACAAUGCUGGUUCAACAAUCAGAUGAGUUCAGUUUGGCAGAAGGAGUUGCAUAUAUGUAUGUAUGCUCGCUGUUGAUCGAUGAAGGGUGCUGGCUGGCCAACUUGCCUACUGGAAGGUUCUUUUCAUACAUGCCCAAACUACUGGCUUGUGAUUGGCUAAAACAUAGUUUGUUCCCUUCCCUUCAGGUUUGAGUGAAGUUGUGUUGGACUUUGUGUUUCUCAGUCCCCUACUCCUGACCUUGCCAGUGUGUGUACAUGUUGUUGUGUAGAGACAGCAGGCCAAAGUGUGUGUACAUGUUGUUGUGUUACAGACAGCAGGCCAAAGUGUGUGUACAUGUUGUGUUACAGACAGCAGGCCAAAGUGUGUGUACAUGUUGUUGUUGUACAGCAGGCCAAAGUGUGUGUACAUGUUGUGUUACAGACAGCAGGCCAAAGUGUGUGUACAUGUUGUGUAGAGACAGCAGGCCAAAGUGUGUGUGUACAUGUUAUGGACAGACAGCAGGCCAAAGUGUGUGUACAUGUUCUGGACAGACAGCAGGCCAAAGUGUGUGUCCCAUCUGACACUGAUCUGUUUGUUUCAUGACCGUGUGAACAGCACGCAGCGUCGGAAAUACACGAGGGCAAAGGGCAAAACUGCCCCUAAGAAAUAUAAUUUUGCCCCUGAUAUCACUAGGAGAGGGGCAAAAAAUGCCCCCAUAAUUUCCUCUAAUAAUAAUUUAAUGAACUUGUCAAAAACAUCGUAGCCUAUAUGACCCGGUCCAGUUGCCAUAAAAUGUUUUAGAUUUUCGCCUUGACUGAUUGUUGCGUGUGCGUGAAGAACCGAACAUUCUAACAAAAAUUAUAAAUGGAGCGCUUCUUAAUCAGACCUGUGACUGCGAGUGUGAGGAGAAAUGAGGAUCAGCAAACACAGUCUCCGUCACCAUCUCAGGUUCCAAAAGAUACAAUUUUCAUUCGAAUUAUUGAAGCUAGAUUGGCUUGGGGUGGAGGAUGACGACGACAACGAGAAAAAGACGCACAUUUCUUUCAAGGCACGUCGGAUUUGUGGACAACGAGUUGCCAAAUCGUUGUCAAUCCAGCACAGGCACACUGACUUCAUCAAGGGGAGCGAAAACAUAAAGAAAUACAUGGCCGUUUGUCACCAGGCGCCAAGCAACACGCCAUCGCCUACGGUGAAUGAUAACUAGUAAUAAUAUUUUUUUUUAUUAUUUAGUUCGGUUUAUCUAGUUAAACGUUAGUUAGCUAACGUUAGCUAGCUCUGAUAGUGCAUAAGCUACAAAGUCUUGCUUGCAAGCUAGCUAACUAGUCCCAUCUGUAUUUCCUGUACUAUGGUAGGUACAUGAUCAAAGGUAACAAAAAAAAAUCAAUAAAUAUAAUAAGUUAUUAUUAUAAAAAAGACAAAACUUAUAUUGUUAAUAGUUGUUUAAAAUGUUUUAUAAUAACAAUAAAUAACCACAAAGAAAUAAGAAUACAAUUGAAUAUGAUUGUCUGAUUUAUGUUUUCUGUUUGUUUUUUGUUCAAGAAAACACUUAAAAUUUGUAGAGUACUGCUUAAUAGUCUUAUUAUUGCCUUUUGAUGACAAUCCCCAUAUACUCUAAGCCUAAAUAAGGAUGUUUAUUAUUUUGAACAUAGUUAAAUGAUAUUUCACAAGUUUCAAAAAGUGCCCCCAAUUUUAUUUUAAAUGCCCCUGGAUUUCAGUCAGUGGGGGCAAAAAUUGCCCCCUAAAAAAUAUGUAAAUUUCCUACCCUGACAGCACGCAUCACAUGGAAUCUGGUCUUUUCAGUUCUGAUCUGGGCCACCUCCAUAUGUGGGUUUAAAUCAGGACCAGAUCAGAUUGGUUUGCAAUGCGACUUCAGGUGACCUGCACGUAGGCGUGUGAACUAAGGCUUCCGUGUGAUUGGCCCACACUCAUGGGGUGCACACCUAAACAAAACCUCUUUGGUUCUAUGGCAGUCAAACCUAGUAGUGGAGGAAAGUCACUGGUUCUCAUUUUUCUCCUAUGAGUUUUGACCAUUUGACCACUGAUUUUCCUCAUACACUUUUUGUAAGCAAUUGGUGUUAAUAGUAUCCUUUUUGGUGUUUUUUAGUAUCUGUUCAGAAAACAAAUAGCCUUUCUAUUUUGUGUAAACCAUGUUUUACUUUUUAACAGCAAGCAGAAAAUAACUAGCCAGAUUUCACACAGAUAGUUUAUGGCAACAUGCGUGUUAUACAUCACAGCGGAUGUCUCAUAGCCCCUGCUGUAUCUCUUGCCUGCUUCUAAAAUGGUUCUGCGUUGCCCAAAGCAUGUGAUUGGUGUGUGUUGGACAGCAGCGGAGAGUUACUCCAUAACGACACCUGGGUUGGAGAGAGCCUCAGGAAACCCCACCCCAUUCACUGUGUUUGACAUGCUUUCUCAAAUGUUUUCAUUUGGGUAUGAAUUAGGUGUUGCGCCUUAUUCUUCAUUCUAGAUAACCCCAGUAGUGAUAAAGUGGAGUAGCUCCUCAAUGUUUGAGAAUGGGCACAGUAGAGGCCAGGACACACUCCUAUGUGCACCACAGCAGUCAGAAUGGGGAGAGUAGAGGCCGCAGACGCAGACGCAGACGCAGACGCACAUGCUUCCUUAUCACUUAGGGCUUAAAGAAAUGUGGGAGGUGAGAAUGUUGGGCUGGGUCUUCCCGUGUGUGGACCUUCCUCUCGGAUGCAGGGUUUGAUGACAUGAUUGCAUGUGAGGGGAUAUGGUUGCUUGUCCAUCUCUGGCUGGAGCAAAACCUC
Clupea harengus (Atlantic herring) is the source of this 2882-nucleotide long non-coding RNA. The record is from Ensembl. Lineage: Eukaryota; Metazoa; Chordata; Actinopteri; Clupeiformes; Clupeidae.